GCCGAAAUAGCCCAGUUGGGAGAGCGUUAGACUGAAGAUCUAAAGGCCCCCGGUUCAAUCCUGGGUUCCGGCA
This 73-nucleotide transfer RNA is filed under the name Haliotis rubra (blacklip abalone). RNAcentral describes it as "tRNA-Phe". It matches the Rfam family "tRNA". Rfam says of the family: Transfer RNA (tRNA) molecules are approximately 80 nucleotides in length. Their secondary structure includes four short double-helical elements and three loops (D, anti-codon, and T loops). The record is from RNAcentral. Lineage: Eukaryota; Metazoa; Mollusca; Gastropoda; Lepetellida; Haliotidae.